RNAcentral lists this ribosomal RNA (492 nucleotides) under uncultured bacterium. RNAcentral's name for it is "partial 16S ribosomal RNA". It matches the Rfam family "Bacterial small subunit ribosomal RNA", at positions 29 to 507 of the family's 1533-position model. The record is from RNAcentral.
AGUGAACGCUGGCGGUAGGCCUAACACAUGCAAGUCGAGCGGCAGCACAGUAAGAGCUUGCUCUUACGGGUGGCGAGUGGCGGACGGGUGAGGAAUACAUCGGAAUCUACUUUUUCGUGGGGGAUAACGUAGGGAAACUUACGCUAAUACCGCAUACGACCUACGGGUGAAAGCAGGGGAUCUUCGGACCUUGCGCGAUUGAAUGAGCCGAUGUCGGAUUAGCUAGUUGGCGGGGUAAAGGCCCACCAAGGCGACGAUCCGUAGCUGGUCUGAGAGGAUGAUCAGCCACACUGGAACUGAGACACGGUCCAGACUCCUACGGGAGGCAGCAGUGGGGAAUAUUGGACAAUGGGUGCAAGCCUGAUCCAGCCAUACCGCGUGGGUGAAGAAGGCCUUCGGGUUGUAAAGCCCUUUUGUUGGGAAAGAAAAGCAGCAGGUUAAUACCCCGCUGUUCUGACGGUACCCAAAGAAUAAGCACCGGCUAACUUCGUG